Molecule: non-coding RNA, 18576 nt
Organism: Pelobates cultripes (western spadefoot toad)
Lineage: Eukaryota; Metazoa; Chordata; Amphibia; Anura; Pelobatidae
Source: the annotation of a GenBank genome assembly
UGUUGCUGCCUGAUCGCUGCACAGAGGUCCUGCCGCUGCCGGGCAUCUAAAUGCUCCAGGAGGCUGUCUUCCUGCCUAACAGUGAGUUGGCAGAUGGGUGCCUCAAGCACACCGUCUGUAUCGUUGACUAGGGAACCCUCCGUCUUUCCAGGAUCCCCAGCACCGAGUUAGCACAAUUAGUCCCCCAUGCACACGCAGGAUUGCUGUGUGUAAAGGGAUUUCCCUUUGUACUUGCCGCAUACUGGCUUUCAUUUAGUCGAACAAGCGGUUCGGUAGGUUAACCCCCCCAACGUGCAGGCAACUUAGUAAUCAUAAUAAGGAAUAAGGGUUAAGAUAUAGGCUGACGAUCUGCAUGUUUAUUGUUGGAUUGCACACUCCUUUCCCCUCCCUCCUGGUAAACAAACUUCCCGGUUGUUCGGUUACAUCAAAUAUACCAGGUCACUCUAAUUACUUGCUUAAUUUUUUUCCCCUACUUCAAUUCUUUUAAGCAUGGCCUAUACCACUGGAAUAUACAACAGAUAGUUAUUGCAACCCACUUUGCACCAAUUUGGGUUUUGGGCACGAGUCACAUUGUCUGGUUGUCUCUGCACAGGCUCGAAUACAAUGUCUGUCAGACAGUCCCCCAAAACUGCAAUAAAGUAACAAAAAAAUAUUAGCACACUUAAUUAAUAAAAUCUAUUUAGAAGGUAUAUAUUUAUGGUCUAAGUACAUAUGUAUAGACACAUACACACUUUAAUUUUAAGCAUAUUUUAUUAUUACUUUAUAUAUGUUAUUAUAGACACUUAAGGGUGUUGCAUUGACAUUGUCCACAUAUCCUUUUCUCCAAGUUAUAAGUCUGGCCCCAAGAACUGAAGCUGCCAUUUUAAGUCUUGUCUAAAAACUUGCUAGGUAGGCAGUUACUCCUUUGAGAUACUAUUGGGUUACGGUUAAAUUCUUUGACUCAGACAUGAUUCUCCCUUCCACAUACCCUUAGGUGCCCCACUUACUACUGAACCUUCAAAUCCUGGGCAUACGAAUUCAAUUAAGUUCACACAGGUACGUUCGCCAGUUAGCUCAUACUGGAAUUUCCCUGUUUCUAGCAGUCCUUUAGACCAGAGGAAUGGCUGGCUAUUAAGGAAAUUAGGUUCCAUAUUUAGCUUUCUAAAGGCCUUCUUUUCCCAUCCUCUGGUAUUCGGCCCUCGGUCCAACGCAUACAUAGCCGCCUCGCAAGUUACACAGAGAGGGCCUUGUAACGGAUCGCCUGGCACCCCGACUGGGUACCUCCGUUGAAGGAUGCUCCUAACGCUUCCUGAGGACUCCAAGCACUGCAGCAGACACCAAAACCACCGAACCGUAGGAACAAAUAAAUUCUCCCACGCAUAUGAAUGCUGUAGACAGUUGAAUAGGAAACCAUGCGAAUAGGUUUACUCUCCUAGCAGUCAAACUGGAACAGCAUACAAUAAAUCCUUCCCCCAAUAAUGAGACGACACUUCACUUUGAGGGUUAAAACAGGAACUCCCUGUACUGUCACAUACAGUCUCUACCUGCCAUCGGUGGGUCUUCCCAGGACCAGUCUAUGAGGUCCCCUACUUCUGCAGCUGGUAGUGAAGCAGGAGGUACCUUGGCUGCGUUUUCCCAGCUGUAGGUUGGCAGGUCUGGGUCCGCCAGCCAGUUUUCCUGUUCUGUGUUCAUGCCCUGUGGCUGACAUGAGUUUAGUAGUUCCACAUAGUCCAUCUCUAGCUGUCGUUCCAUGGCAGCCAAACGGUGGAGGUCUUGUCCCAGUCCCAUAGAUCUCGGGCCCUGUACCAUCUCACCCCGGUAAUAAAAGAUAGCCCAGUACCGUGACUCUGCUGGACUGCCAAAGUCGACGUCUUCUGCUAAGGCCUUCCACAACAGGCCAGGGCUAGUGUAGUUCUCCCCCUCCGGCUGGAUGCCCUCUGCCCUCCACGUCUCUGGCUGGACAGUGCACCACCACAGUGCCCGGUAUGAGGCGUCAAGGCUCAGUUCCCUUUCCACGAGGUACUCAAGUUGUCUGACCUGCUGCCCUCCGGGUUGGUCUCCCAGAAGCGGCAUCCGCCAGGCCAUUUGUUCCUCCAACUGGUAUGCGACACCAGGAAGGCGCUGCUGCCGUUGAUACUGGACUUCCUCCAGGGCAUCGUACCAUAGUUCUUGCCGGGCAAUAUCUCUCCAUUCCAAUUCACUCUCUUCCUCAGGUGUGCGUGUUGCCCAAGGAUCCACGAACCCCAUUUUCCCAAAUCUCUAUGUAGACAGGGACGCUGUAUAAACACUAGCGUCGCCUUCAAUUUGUAAAUCCAAACGAACUGUGUCUCUGAGCUGCUUUACCUUGCACUAGGACGCCAUCCCACCGCUUGCCACCAAUGUAACGGAUCGCCUGGCACCCCGACUGGGUACCUCCGUUGAAGGAUGCUCCUAGCGCUUCCUGAGGACUCCAAGCACUGCAGCAGACACCACAACCACCGAACCGGAGAAACAAAUAAAUUCUCCCAAGCAUAUGAAUGCUGUAGACAGUUGAAUAGGAAACCAUGCGAAUAGGUUUACUCUCCUAGCAGUCAAACUGGAACAGCAUACAAUAAAUCCUUCCCCCAAUAAUGAGACGACACUUCACUUUGAGGGUUAAAACAGGAACUCCCUGUACUGUCACAUACAGUCUCUUUUAUUCCCAAUCCACAAACAUAGUACAGCCCACAGGGCGUUACAAAACAACCAAUCAAUCCGUAUAAUACACCCAGACACUCCCACACAAAAUCCUCCCCUCUGCAUGUGAUAUGAUUACUGAACACAAUGGGUAAUCUCAUUAUCACCGGCAGAGGAAUACAGUUUUUACACAAUAUUUAUAACUUCUAAAAUAUACAUGUCACAAACAUAAAACAUACAUUUUCAUAAUCAAUCCAUUCAGGGAACAACAUAUUAAAAAAUGGCACGAAUCAGACCAGGGGUUCAAAAGUUAAGGGAAAGUCCUUUGUGACUAAAUGAAGCAUGGCUUUCUGGCCCAAACCAGUUUCAGAGUCUUCUAUCCUGGAGAUUGAAUUGAGAAGUAAUUCAAUUAUCUCCCAGGACAGACACAAGACUCCAUUAAGCACAUGGUUGCAAAAAGACACAAAACACUUUAAAAUACAUAAAGUCACCUUUUACACAUAAGACACAGACAUUUCACAUAUCCCCAGAUAGCUGGGAUCUGAGCGCACAAAACUACCGAAUAGCGCUCAGAUCCUAUUCACACAGUUCAAUUGCCAUGGAGCCGAAGUCUUUAACUACACGAAUGGGCUCCAUGGCAUAGCUAUCUGGGUUAACACAUUCACAUAAAGUCUGGUCCAUAGUCCAAAGGCAAGAGGCGGGCAAGGAGCCCCCUCCAAGGACACGUGGCGAGGCCGGUUUCGCCACAGGCCUCAAUUGUCAUUCCCAACUGUAUUUUUCUUUUAAAUUGCCACAAUGCUCCGUGCUAAUAGGCCCGCGAUUCAACUCAUAGAUGGAGCCUCUCAAGCUGCUUGGCUUUAGCAGGGCAUCACCUGUCACCACAUAGUGAAUAUUUUUGGAACUAAUUAGCAGACAGUACCCUAGGUGACAAGGUCUUAAUUUCCAAUUCUCAUUAUUUUUAGUAUGUCACAAGUUUCAGAGGGAGGAGAUGAUCUUUCACUCCCUAGCACCCCAGUUCACCAUCGGGGAGACGUGAAUCAGCCAGUCCAUCAUAUAUUAGAUCUUGGACAAUACCACGUAUUCAACUUGAUCUCAGAAGAAGUAUUCAAUUCCUGGCUACAGCCAGGAAAGCUGUUUUGUUUAGACUAAUGCAGACUUACACAGGCAGCGCAUGGGAAGGGUCUAGCGGAAACAUCAACCCGCCGGACUUACAAACUAUGAUGAAUUCUCUCCUAUCAUCCAUUGGUCAAAUUAGAGAUAGGAUCAAGUCAGGCCAUUAGAGAUAGAUUAGAGUCGGGCCACUUGGCAAUGAACCCAACUUUGUCAGAUGCUACAUCUCUAGCAGCUGCUACAGCUAUUUUACAGGGUAAUGAAGCAGUCCCCAUAUCCACAAUUGAUACCCUCAUGAUAACACCAGCCCAUAUGGUGCCACCUCAGAUCCACAAAGAUAUCCUGGAAGGUAAGAAUGUGAACUUGGUUUCCUUCUUAUUGCUUCCCAAGAUAUUGUGGUGUAUAAGACGUAUGCUUGUGGGAACUUAUCUGUGGUCCUCAAGGCUAGAGAUCCCAGACUCAGUAAAAAAACUUACAAUUCCCAAAUUCGUACUGGCAUUUGGGAUCUAUAGGGAUGUGGUGUGUACUAAUUUGCCACAUAGGAGAGAAGAAUUUGACACUUAUAUGCAUAAGCUGGUGGACCUGGGGCACAAGUACGGUGGAUACGCCUUUUAUGAUUAUCAUAGGUCAUUCUCGGCCAAAGCAGCGGCAACUCUGGCCCAGUUUAAUACAGUCAUUAAUUGGAGUAAACUGGACACAGAGUUGUUCUGUAGGCGUUUCGCCGGCCUGAGGACACCAGCCUGUGCUUGGUGUUCGUCAACCUCCCUCGCGACUAACCUUUGCCCCAUUGACACCUCAGUUUUGGGCCAACAACCCCCUGGUUUACCAGCCAGAUCUGAGAAUGUCAUUAAAGAUAAGCUUGCCAGACCAAUUGUGUUCCUUGGGAAAUCCCAAAUAUGUAAUAAUUUUAAUGCGGGUGCUUGUGGGUUUAGUGCCUGUAGGUUAUUACAUAUCUGUAUGCAAUGUUUCCGAGCACAUUCUAAGAUAAUGUGCCCCAAUAAACUACAUCCCAAACAGUAUUUCACAUCUGUUAAUAUUAAUAUUAUAUUAUUAUUAAGUUGCCUCAACUGUUAACGUCACACCAUCUCCACAAUUAGUGGAUUUCUUGAUUUCAGGGUUUUCACACGGUUUCCACACUGGCAUUUUGGCCUUACCUACUGGUAUUACAGAAUGUAAAAACUUGCAGUCAGCCAUCAAUGACCCAGGUUCAGGAGACAAACUUUUACUACACGAAUUGGAUCAAGGGUUCAUCCUAGGCCCAUUUCCCACACCUCCCUUUGCUAUUUGGCAGACGAAUCCAUUAUGUGUUGUCACGGGGAAACCUUUUUUUAAAGAGGCUGAUUAUCGAUCUUUCCGCACCUGACUCCUCCAACAUCCCCAGUUUAAAUUCUUCAAUUCCAUCCGAGGAAUUCUCUCUACAAUAUACCACGAUAGACAAUGCAGUCCAAGCAAUCAUAUCAGCCAGCGUUGGGGCAUGGUUAGGUAAGACCGACAUUGUAAAUGCCUUUAAAAUACCCCCAGCUCAUCCUUCUCUAUGGCAUCUUUAUCGUGUUAAGUGGAGAAACCAGUAUUAUAUUUUCAAUAGGCUGACGUACGGUUAAAACAGUAGCCCCAAAUUUUUUUUAUACCCUUGCCGAAACCUUAUGCUGGUUGCUUCUUAAUUCAUGUAGAUGUCCAUCAGUACUUAACUAUUUAGACAAUUUUCUCAUCAUAGAGUGUAAUGAUAAUCCACCACGUAGUCUACAGGAUACCAUACAGCUGUUUGAAAAGUUUGGGUGUCCAGGUUUCGCCUUCCAAAACAGAAUAUCCCGACACCACAGUCAGUUUUCUUGGCAUUCAACUAGACUCCAUGGCUAUGGAAUCCGUCUUACCAAGGGAUAAAACUGAACGUAUACUAGCAGAUAUUGAUGAUUACUUACGACUGUGUUCCUGUAGCCGUAAGGAAUUACAAUCAUUGCUUGGAUCGUUAAAUGUUGCGAUGAGAAUAAUCCCUCAGGGCAGGUCAUUCAUUUCACGGUUUCUAUGUUUAUUACCAUGUCUUCCCUCCGAAGAUAGCAGAGUUUCCCUUGAUUACCAGGCCACAGCAGAUUUACAGAUGUGGCAGAAAUUCCUGUCAGUGGAAUGGAAAAUAUAUGUUCAUCCCUCGUAUUUCAUACAAUUCUCCAAUGCUCUGGUCAGAUGCAGUGGCUUCCACUGGCUUUGCAGCUAUUUGUGGUGACCAAUGGCUGUGGGGCUAAUGGCAUCCCGAAACCGAUGCUUUUAAGGCCUUUAAUCCGACUUCAGCAUUAUUUGAAAUUUAUCCUAUUGUAGCCGCAGCAGCGGCCUGGGGACACUCUUGGUCUGGACAAACAGUACGGUGGUUUUCUGACAUUCAAGCGGCAUGCCAUAUCACUAAAAAGGGUCGUUCCCCUUCUCUCAUUAUCAUUAGACACUUAACUCGGUUAGCUGCUACUCAUCAAUUCUUUAUCUGGAGUACACAUGUUCCCGGUAGUCACAACAUGGCGGCUGACCAUUUAUCUCGCUUCCAUUUUCAGGAAUUCCUCUAACUCUACCCCAGUGCCUCUCCAAUGGCAACUCCUGACCCUCAUUUUCAAGACCUCAUCAUGGAUUAGGUCAGCUCCUGGCACAUGGCAGAGUACUGUCACAAUGCGCCCUGUCCGACAACACUAGACGGUCAUACAAAAGUGCUGUCUACACUUUCAUUAGGUUUACUAAAGAAUUUCGUGUGGUAGACACUUUCUCUAUGGAAUUUUUAGUAGCUUUCACUUCCUUAAGCCACCUAAAAUCUUAUGACACAAUCAAACUGUAUCUCACAGGGUUACAAAAUCACAUGCUGUCAACUAUAUCCAAACAAACAAACAUUCUUAUCCUCAUAUCAAAUUAAAACAGUAUUUAGAGGAAUACAGAGAUGCAGCACACCACAAACACCUCAGAGAUUACCAAUCAUUGGGAACUUAUUCAGGUCUCUAUCGGAUAUCUUGGACACUUCACCAUUUGAACCACAGACUAAUCACACUUUUAAAACCGCCAUAUACUUUUUAAAAAAAUUUUUAUUUUAUUUUACAAACAAGAAAAAAAUACAGACAAUAUAUGCGUUAAGAUUUCCUCAUAUGGUAGAAGUAUCAAAUAAUGCGCAUAUAUAAAGUAAAAAUGACAAACAAUAAGUACAGCUGUUGGCGAAUGACUGUUACCAUUGAUCAUAUCCUUGUUAGUGCUACAGCCGUAAUCAAAAAUACACACAUUUAAAAUGAAUAGGAUGUUUUUGGCAUGGAGACCAUCUCUAAGUAUCCUACAGAUCGGGGCAUCGUAAUUCGGGGCAUCAUUAAAAAAAAAAAAAAAUAUCCUUUCUCUUUCCCUUUCCUUCCCCUUUUUGCUUUCUCUUUUUUAACCAGUUUCCUGACUUCUGAAAUCCUAAAAUCUUUAGAUAUUACCCUGGUUUUGUUUCGUUAGCCAUUGAUUACAAAUUCUGUUAUAUUGGAAUUGUUUCUGUCUAGCUAAGUAAUACCCCUUUUCCAUUAAGCAUUGGUGAGAGAUCUGACUUAUAACCCUAGGCCAUUGUAUUACAUCUUGAGUUUUCCACUGCCAUGCUAUUACAAUCUUCAUUGCUAGUAAUAUUUGUAUUGUCAAGGCUUUGUUAGAAAAAUCAAGAUUGUCCAAACCUAAAUGGAAUAGGGCCGUUUCUGGCGAAAUUUGAAUUGUUGUUUCCGUCAGUUCUGAAAUGAAAGCAAAUAUUUUCCGCCAAGUACUCUUAAUGUUAUUACAAGACCACCACAUAUGAAUUAGAUUCCCUGGUUUAUUAUUACAUUUCCAGCAUAUUGGAUUUGCAGUAGCGUUAAAUUUCUGUACUUUCACUGGAUAUAAGUGCCACCUAUAUAUAAUUUUAAAAUGUAGUUUCUGUUGUGAAAGACAGUGCGUAAUCUUUCCUAUUUGAAUCCAACUAUCCCACCAUUGUUUCUUAUCUAUUUGAAUUGACAUUUCCUUUCCCCAUACCUCUAGAGCUUUAUAUUUUAUUGUAGGUAGGCUAAAUUAUAACAAAUCGUACCAAGCUCUUAAGAUUUUUUUUUUGUUUGUUUGAGUUUUUGCUUAUUAGUUUGUCGAAUUGAUCUUUUAUUUUUUUUUCCAGGUUUCUGAUCAAAUUGGAACUUAAAUAAUAUUUGAUUCUAAUUAUGGAAAAAUUCUCAUUCAUUGUACUUCCAUACUCUUGUUGAAGUUGCCUAAAAGACUUGAGGUUAUUUUUAAGAUAUAGAUCUUGAAUUCUUAGAUUUUUUUCUUGAAGGCUUACUGGCAGCAGGAAAUCUAUAAUAUUGUAUUCCAAAAUUUCUAGUGGAGAAGUCAUUGCACAUUUAUCCAAGAUUCGCAACUUUUUCUUAAAUUGAGACCAAUCUUUCAUAAUAUUAGACAAGACCAAGGAGUUAGCUUUCAGCAAAAUUUACUUAUACUUGCCUUUUACGGGUUUCUUAGACCUAGGGAGUUCACGACCAUCAACACUUCUGAAAUAGGGUCAUGCCUUAAAAUAUCACAACUCAUUAAACACGAAGACCACUAUGUGCUCUCUCUGCAACACACCAAGACCAGUCAAUCGGGUCAAAUCCCUUAUUACCCCACGUUUAAUAAAUGGUGUCCAGUGAAAUCAUUAGAUAUAUAUCUUGGCCACAUUCAAUUACCUCCCAGUCAACCUUUACUUAUCUUACAUGGGACCAUUCUCACUACAAGCAAGUUCACGCUUUAUAUCAGAAUCCUACUAAUGAGACUAGGUUUUAAUCCCAUACAUUAUUCCAGACACUCCUUCCGUAUAGGUGCGGCUUAAACAGCCUCCAAUAGGAACAUUCCAGCCCAUGUUAUCAAAUCAUUGGGGCGCUGGAAGUCAACAGCCUACUGCCGAUACAUCCGUCAAUCAAAGAGAGAGAGAUAAGACAAGCAUUCCAACACUUUCCAGCAUUUUAAGGUUUUAUGUUGUGAUAAUGUUGGUGACUGUUGAAUGAAUAAAUUAUUUUGGCACAUUCCUUUUUUGCCCACUUUAUUUAAAGGCCUACUGAUACGUCAGUUUCGGCACACCACAACCGAAUGUUGUAUAAAUUUACAGGUAUGGUAGGUGUCAAGUACAAGAUACGGCUUCUUGUUGCCCUGUGCACAAAUUUAAAAGGUGGAGCCUGGAGUUGUGGGAGGGGCUAGUGCUGAUAAAAGAGCUCCCCCGUCAUCUCCAGACUCCUCCUCUGUAUCGCACAGUUCGUGUCCCUCCCACCACUCCCACUUUUAUUUAAUUAUUUUAUUUUAUACUUUUUUUUUUUUUUUCUUCUUACAACCUUCCUUGGUGGGCCCACUUUAUUUACAGCCCUACUGAUAUAUUGGUUUCGUCAUACCACAACCGAAUGUUGUAUAUCUCUACAGGUAUGGUAAGGUGUCAAGUACAUGAUACAGCUUCUUGUUGCCCCGUGCACAAAUAUAUUUAUAUAUAAAUAUUCUACAUGUAUAUUUAUGUAAUCGUUUCACAUAAUUAUGUGAUUUUAUUAACUAUAAUUUGAGGGACCUGCCUGACAACCCUGGCAGAAAGUCCGUGUAACUUCCCAAAACACUAUAAAACUUGGACAUGGGUGGUACUGUUGUACUCGUGAGACAUUGCUAAAUAUGAGUGUUUUAGAGCAGUAUAACACAUAAUGCUGAUGACAUCAUUGUUGAAAGUGCAGCUUGUUUGUGAAAAAUACAAAAAAUAAAUAUGAAUGCUAACUUUGGCAAGGGUUUGUGACUAAGUGACUACUAAAAAAAGACUGGCCAUACCUCAUUUUGAAUACCUUGAGUUGUCUACUUUUGCAAAUGCUAUGCCAUGAGGGGCAUAAAACUAACAUGGGGAAAGCCCUAUAUUUGACCCUGUACGUUUCCAAAACCCCAUAAAACCUAUACAUGGUGAGGGGUACUGUUGUCCUUGUGAGACAUGGCUGAACACAAAUCUGUGUGUUUUUUUGCAGUAAAAGCUAACAGUAUUAUGACAUUCACAGCAAAAAUGCCAUGCAGAACAAAAAAAAAAAAAAUAAUAAAAUGUCUUUGUUUAUCACUUUUUUUUUUUUUUUAGAUUUUAUUCAUUUUAAAUUAUGUUUCAUAUAUAAAUAUUUGAUGUGAAAUGAAAACCAUGUUUCUCCUGAACAAAUUGAUAUAUAAUAAAUGUGGCUGCACAAUAUGAAAGAGGUAAAUUAUGGAUGAACAGACAUAUUGUCAAAUUCCACGUUUUGUUUUGAUCAGAACUUGCACAAUUGCUUCCAUCCUUUUUUUCUGUUUGUUUUUUGAACGCUAUAGUGUUCCUGUAACAAAUAUGGUUUAUAAUCACAUGUUACAGGGAGCAUCAAAAAAUGUGUAUUAUUUCUAAUAAGGUCUGGAAUCCAUGGGAUGUUUAUUAUGAGGACAAGAAAAUACUAAUAUUACAACUAUAUAUUCUGUUGUAUGCUCUUCCAACUCUAUUGUUCAAUGCAGCUGUGUCAUAACAUGUUUAUUAAAUCUAGGGGCAUCCUCAGUCUUUCUUAUUAUAUAUAUUUGGCUGUCUCCCUUUCUCAAUCUCUUAGCUCUCUACACAUAUUGGUUUGAUUGAAAAUAAUUUGUGUCACUCCAGCAGUGAAUAUUAGUAGCUGAGACCUUUCAUUUCAUUCUUGUCGUACAAUUUCUAUACGCUCUACGAUGUAUAAUGCAUGCUUUCUAAGAAAACAGAAAAAGAUUAGCAGGUUUGCAGUUAGUUUCUUCUGUGCUAUGAAUCUGCGUACAUCUUUGCACUCUUACCAAAUGCUAUAUAUCCUGGGGAAAACAGUACAUUCAACCCUUGCGCUUUUUGUCAAUAACAAUCCUUUUAGCAAUAUUAUUUUUAAGGUGUGUGGAAUGUACAAGAUUAGCAUAUUUUCUUUACCGCAAAAGAAUGUAAGAAUCUAAAGAAAAUGACAAAUACAUUGAACCAUACAAUAUGGAUGCCCUGUGCACAUACUUUGUUAUAACACCUGGCCUAGAGAAGACGCCCUUGAGAAUUUGCUGACAAUCUAUUCACUACUUUUAAGGUCAAAAUGGAUUCCUAAAUAAUGCCUAUAAUAAAAAAGGUAACAGUUUAACACUAUCUACACACCAUGAGACAGCAGGGAAUUGUCACAUUUGAGGUGUGAAAGGCAAGAAAACCUGUCUGUUGAAAAUGCAUGUCCUGUAUUAAUUUUCCAUUGAAAAACAUGUUUUCUGACCUCCCAGCCAGUACCACAAGCAUUCCAGAGUCAUAAACUAGUAUAGAGGUCCCUUGUCUAUCUCACACCUGGACUCAAUCAAAGCUAGACCAUGAGAGUGAUUAAUGCAUUCCAUGUUUACAUGUGAUUAGGCCUCUUUUAUUGCUUGCAUUGUAAGUGAAUGCAAUGUGUUUUAAAUAGCCAUGUCUGUCUUCUGAUUGCAUUGACUGUGUGCAAGUGAAGAGACAACAAUUCAAAUCUGCAUACUUUGCAUUCUGCUUUACAAUUGAUGGAUUCUAUUUCCACUGGAAACCAAAUUUUGUCCAAGUGUGAAUUAUUGUUUAUAUAUUGUUAUCCUUCUAGUCUUUUAGUCUAGUCUUUCUCACACCCUAUGAGGUGAUGUCACAGCCUGACUUUCAUAUUACUGCAGCUAGAUGGAUUGCUGGCUCAGAAAGUAUGUGGUAUAGAAUAGUGAUGGCUGACCAAUUUGUAAAACCAGACAUUUGUUUGCCAUGAUGGCGGGGGCGUACCUAAAGCAUUUGGCACCCGGGGCGGGUCCUAUGUUUGGCACCCUCCCUUCUCCCCCCCACUUUAAAAUGUAAAAAACAAUUGCACUUUAAAAAAAAAUGUAUUUAGCACUGAGCCUUGUUUGAAUGUUCGCAUGUUUUUGUAUUGAGUAUGUUUGAGUGACUGUAGGGGUGUGUUUGUAUGUAGUGUUGGCGUUUGAAUGCAAGCAAGCAUUUGUGUGUUGUGUGGUAUUUGAAUGCAGUGGUGUGGUUAUACAUAAUGGUGGGGUUUGUAUGUAGUGCUGACGUUGAAAUGCAGGGAGUAUUUGUGUGUAGUGUUGGCGAGAUUCUGAGAUGUAUGCACAUAUACACACUAACACACGUGCAGAUACAUAGACACUCAGACACACAUGCAGACACAGAGGCGACUCUAGGAACAAUAUAUGGGGGUGGGUACAUAAGAUACCACAGUCAAAACUGGGGGGCACUAAAACUUUUCACUAGGGGAUGGGGUAACAUAGAAACAUAGAAACAUAGAAUGUGACGGCAGAUAAGAACCAUUCGACCCAUCUAGUCUGCCCAAUUUUCUAAAUACUUCCAUUAGUCCCUAGCCUUAUCUUAUAGUUAGGAUAGACUUAUGCCUAUCCCACGCAUGCUUAAACUCCUUUACUGUGUUAACCUCUACCACUUCAGCUGGAAGGCUAUUCCAUGCAUCCACUACCCUCUCAGUAAAGUAAUACUUUCUGAUAUUAUUUUUAAACCUUUGUCCCUCUAAUUUAAGACCUCUUGUUGUGGUAGUUUUUCUUCUUUUAAAUAUAGUCUCCUCCUUUACUGUGUUGAUUCCCUUUAUAUAUUUAAAUGUUUCUAUCAUAUCCCCCCUGUCUCGUCUUUCUUCCAAGCUAUACAUGUUAAGAUCCUUUAACCUUUCCUGGUAAGUUUUACCCCGCAAUCCAUGAACCAGUUUAAUAGCCCUUCUCUGAACCCUCUCUAAGGUAUCAAUAUCCUUCUGAAGAUACGGUCUCCAGUACUGUGUACAAUACUCCAAGUGAGGUCUCACCAGUGUUCUGUACAAUGGCAUGAGCACUUCCCUCUUUCUACUGCUUAUAUCUCUCCCUAUACAACCAAGCAUUCUGCUAGCAUUUCCUGCUGCUCUAUUACAUUGUCUGCCUACCUUUAAGUCAUCAGAAAUAAUCACCCCUAAAUCCCUUUCCUCAAUUGUUGAGGUUAGGACUCUAUCAAAUAUUCUGUACUCUGCCCUUGGGUUUUUACGUCCAAGAUGCAUUAUCUUGCACUUUUCCACAUUAAAUGUCAGUUGCCACAAUUCUGACCAUUUUUCUAGUUUACCUAAAUCAUUUGCCAUUUGGCUUAUCCCUCCUGGAACAUCAACCCUGUUACAUAUCUUAGUAUCAUCAGCAAAAAGACAUACCUUACCAUCAAGACCUUCUGCAAUAUCACUAAUAAAAAUAUUAAAGAGAAUGGGUCCAAGUACAGAUCCCUGAGGUACCCCACUGGUGACAAGUCCACGCUUCGAAUAUAUUCCAUUAACUACAACCCUCUGUUGCCUGUCAAUCAGCCACUGCCUUACCCAUUCAACAAUAUUGGAAUCCAAACUUAAAGCCUUCUAUGUGCAACAGUGUCAAAAGCCUUACUGAAAUCUAGGUAAGCAAUGUCUACUGCACCACCCUGAUCUAUAAUUUUAGUUACCCAAUCAAACAAAUCAAUAAGAUUAGUUUGGCAUGAUCUCCCUGAAGUAAAUCCAUGUUGUCUCUGAUCUUGAAAUCCAUGUGUUUUUAGAUGUUCAACAAUCCUAUCCUUUAACAUGGUUUUCAUCACUUUCCCCACUACUGAAGUAAGGCUUACUGGCCUAUAGUUGCCCGACUCCUCCCUAUUAUAUGCUGCCAUUGGCUGUCUGAUGCCAGCAUGCUAUGCAUGCUGGCAUCUGGCAACACAUUUUAAUAGAAAUCACAUUAGCCACCCAGAUUUCUUGUUGUAGGCUGGCUGACACCUCUUAACUUCGAUCUUUUUUUUAUCAGAUAACUCCCCUAUUUCAUAUCCUUAUAUGGGAUAGCCAUAUUUAAGGACGCCAUAUAAGGGAGUUAUCUGCUAAACAGCACCCUAAUUCAGUAUCUUUAAUUAUGGAAAUGUCACAUAAGGGCACCAAUUUAGGGAAUCAUCUACUAAACAGCUAAAAGUUCAUUAUUAAAAACACAUACACAGUUAUAUACACACACAAUAGCACUAUAGAUGUGUGUGUGUGUACAUCUGUGAUGGUUUUAUGUGUGUGCGCGCGCGCGUGUAUAUAUAUGUAUAUAUAUAUAUAUAUAUAUAUACACACACACACACACACACACACAAUCACAGACCCACACAUACAAUCCCAGACCUAAACACACAAUCACAUACAUAAACACACAUAUUCACAACACACACUUAACCACAGAGAUGCACACACAAUAACAAUCACAGUCCCACACACAUACAAUAACAGACACACAAUCACAUACACAUAUGAUUAGAUGUACACACACACAAUCAUCACAUACAUACACACAUUUAAUAAGAGGUCCACCCAACCUUUUCUACCUUGCUCUGGGAGUGCUGGAGUGGAGGACUGGUGGUCAGUGGUUGCUGCUGGGAUCUCUGUUCUUCCUGCACAGGUCCCUCACGUGCUCUGUGUGACGGACCGCCUGGCACCCCGACCAGGUGCCUCCGUCACUCGACGUUCCUAGUGCUCACGGAGGACUCUAAGCACUCCACCAGACACCAUCAACACUGCAGUCCCCACGUCCAGCGUUACAGCUUGGCUGGGAACUCAUAGUCCUCCACCCACCCUGGACCCAAAACCAGGAUCCAGCUUCCAGUGGGUGAACCUCUCCUACUCCAGAGAGUGUAGCAGGAACAGCUCUUAAAAGAGCUAGUGAUUAUAAUCCCAGGGGAGUAUAGUGAUAUGGCAAUCCCCAGGGUAGAUACAGACUUUUCCCCCCACACAUGAGAUAAGACUCUAUGUUGAGGGUAAAACACUGGCCUUUUAUGCAAGUUUUCUAACAAGGGUUACACCCACGUGGACCUUGUUGGUUAACAAACCAAUAAAAACAGUAAUUAAAUGUACAACACUCCCAUUACAAGCAUACAAUCCCUCCCCUCUGCCUGUGAGUUAAUUGAGUCAGAUACUGUAUUAACCCAAUUAUCUCCAGGCAGAAAAACACACAUUUUUACAAAUUCUCAUAAGUACCCCAAAACACAACAUAUCCCCUGAUAGCACUGAUCUGGGUGAACAACAUAUCCAAAAAUCACCCAUAUCAGAUCAGGGGUUCAGAAAUUCUAUGGAAGUCCUAGUUUUGCCCAGGCGCAGGCAGGUUUUCAUGCCCAAAACAGUUCCAUAGAAUCGCAGCUAAGUGCCGCUGGAGGACCGACCGGGAACCGUGAGGUUUUCAUGCCGAAAAUAGGUCCAGGGCAUUUGCGGCUAAGUACCCCAGAAAUCUAUUCGUGGUUCUGGUCCAUGCGAACAAGAUGGCCGCCACCACGUGUUCGAAUGGCAGCCACUUCGACUGUUCGGGAGUUUGAAGUGCCACUUCGUAAGUUUGAACUGUGGCCUUAAAAAUUCAAAAAGGCACGAAUAGUGAUUUAAACCAAGUUUUAUCACAGGGGCCACAGUCACAGGGUAGGCCACUCCAAAAUCCAGUGGCGAGGUCACUUUCGCCACACUCUGUAAUAAUGCCGAUGCCGGGAUGACGUGAUAUCCCUGUCACGGGUGGCGGUAUGGAAACUGGGACCCCUGAGUGCCUGAUGAGAAGAUGAGCGGAGUCUUCAGCGAGGUAAUGGACUAUCAGGUAGUGCAGGGUAACCACACGUCCCCUGCUGUUGAGCACCAGCGUUUGUGCAGCCACAAACCAGAACCCUGAUGCAGCUACAGCGCAUCCCAGGACCUUGAUAUGCAGACCUCCCAGGAACUGGAUAGGGGGGCUCUGCAGCAGACAUGUAUCCAGUACAGAAACAAGGCAAGGCUAGGAUAGUCACCAAACAUGAAAACAAGACAGAACUAAUAGAACCCAGAACAGGACAGAAAGCAAAACCCAGAACACGUACACAAGACAUGAGGAAAACAAGAACAGGGCAGGACAGGACUGUUCAUGAACUGGGAUUACAAAAUAAAACAAGACAAGAUAUGAUAGGCAAAACAAGAGGAGACAUAACUAAGCACUAUAUAUGAAAAGUAUGGGGAUUUAGUUACAUUACAUGAUCAUACAUUGCAUAAGCCUGCCACAACGCCAAUGUACCCCAUAUUCAGCAGGUCCUACACUGCCUAAUGUUCGCUAAAAGAACCAUACUAAACCACAAUAGCACUUACCUGCAAUAAAGGGCAGAGGCUUGAAACACUGCUGCAAGUCCAGACUGAAACAAAAGGAAUGAUGGAAAACAAACGGGUGUGGCAACAUAAAACAAACAUUUAAAGGAAACCUGGACACUGGGAAUUCCAGGGACGGAUUACAGGAAUGAACCCAGAAAAACCCAGCAUAAAGAAAACCAGACAUAGAACAGAAAACCAAAAAAACAAGAAAAACUAAACAAGAAUUGUAAAAAGAAUACUGGAUCAGAAGCCAUCACCAGACUGAUCCGCAGAACAAGGCAUGAUGUGACAAUCCCAACUUCCGGCUGUUGCGGUCACCGGCCCGCCGCGUGGCAAGGCUGUGCCCGACCGACACAGCCUCGUUGACAGCACGAGCUUACCUGCUCGUCGGCGAGCCGGCAACCGCUCCCCCAGGUCUUCCGGGCGUCGCACCCAAAUUAAAGAUGGCGCUGACGCGUGGUAGCGUCCUUAUGUAGCUCCGCCCCCGAAAAUUAUAAUAACGUGCGCGUGACGUCACAACGUCAACACACACGCACGUUUUGGGUUCAGAGGUCGCCCUCUGACCAAUCAGAGCAUAGAGAGAGAUAUUUAAAUCCCUAGCUCUUCCCAGUACCUUGCCCUGUCGUGGUUUCCUGUUCCUGGUUUCCUGGGAGUGCUUUAUCUUUGUGAAUCUGAUUCCCUAGUAUCCUGAUCUUGGCUUUUCCCUGGUUAUUCUGAAUUCUGGUUUCCCUGACUUGGCUUGUGUAAACGGUAUUGUGUAUUUUCUGGCUUCCUUGACCUCGGCUUUCCCUUUGACCAUUCUCUGUCUCUAGCGUAUUAGUCCGGCCAUUCUAAGGUCCGGUUUACGCUCUGUCCUUUUAUUUUCCUUUUCCUUCUUAUGUAUAUGUUUAUAUAGUUUCUGCGUGCUGGACCACACUAGUAGUCGUGACACCAGCUCACUGCAGGGCGAAGACAGUCAGACACAGUCAGAUGCACACAGUUAUGCACAUAUACUGUCAAAUACAAUCACUCGCACACAGUCAAACACACAGUUACAGGCAAACUGUCACACACAGUUACACACACACACCUACAGGUAGACAGUCACACACACACAGUUACAGGCAGUAGUACGCACAAUUACAGGAGAUAUGUUUGCAUCCUGGUCGCCAGGACUUUUGUGAGCAAUUUGACGUCAACGUUUAGAAGCGAGAUUGGGCGGUAGCUGUCACAGGAUUUGGGGUCCUUAUCAUGUUUCAGGACGACGGUGAUCUAUUUAGGCAUUCGGCAUGGAGUGUCCCUCCGUCUGCUAACUUGUUCAGGGCGGUCUUCAGUCUGGGUGUGAGGAUGUGUGUGAAGGUCUUGUAGUGUCCUAUUGAUAGUCCAUCUGGGCCUUACCAGCUUUGGCAGUUUUGAUUGCAGCCAGAAGCUCCUCUUCCCCUAUGGGAGAGUCGAGCCUGUCUGCCACAUCUCUGGGGAUUCCGCCAGGUGAAUAUGCCUCAAGGUAUUUCUGGAUUUUGGAAGAGUGGUCAGGUUCCGAAAUUCUGGCAGGGUCUCUUGUAGAUUUGUAGAGUGUGGCAUAGAAUUCCUGGAAUUCCUUUGCUGUAUCCUGGGGAAACAGUGAGACACCUCCUGUGGACAUUUUCAGCUUAUAUACCUGGGUGUAUUGCCGCGGCCCACACAGCAUGUUGGCUAGGAACUUUCCUCCCUUAUUGGCGUGCAUGUAGAAGAAAUCCUUGGAUCUCUGGAUGCUCCUGUAGUCUCGGUUCAUCAAGAGGUUAAUUAGGGCGCGAUGCUCGUCCAGUAGGUCUGCAUAAAUUUAUUCCAGUUAUGAUCGUUUAUGUUGUGACUCUAGGUUGUCUAUCUGUGCUGACAGGUUGGUCAAUUGUUACACCGCUUCCCUUUUCUUCUUGGUGGCUAAACCAAUCAGGCAGCCCCUGAUGACGCUCUUGUGUGCUUCCCACAGAGUAGUGGGCGAUAUCGCGACAGUGUCAAUCUCCUCGAAGUAGAGGGAUAUGGUUUGCAUUACUUGUUCUUUAAUUGCAGGAGUAUCUAACUCAGUUUCCUAUACAAGUGAUAGAGUGAUAGAGAAUACACAGCUUUGAGAGGGUGUACUUUAGCACAAUCACAUAUCUCUAUAUAUAAUAUCAUUACUGUAUAGAAAACAGAGUGAGAUUCUCUAUCACUUGUAUAGGAAACUAAGUAAGAUUCUCCAUCACCAUUUAUAUGUCAGUACCCGAACCAAUUUCCAGAUAUCUUCUCUUCUAAUCUAGAUAAGUGUUUUUAAUUUCAAUAUAUUCAACUAGCAAUGUGGAUUAUUGCAUUUUUAUACAUUUGCUGGUUUUUGUUACCAUUAGAAUAUAUGCUCUGAACCCUUGUAUUCAUAUUUGCACUAGUAUCAUGUGAUAGAGUAAUAUGGUUAAUACACUAUAAUGGUAUACUUUGAAUCAGCCCAACCUAAUUUGAAUAAGAUGGUCUAUGUUUCCGAUGAAACUAUUUUUUGUAUAUGCAUAUAGACACCGCGAUUUUCGCGGAAGUAACAUACAAUCAAUCCCCAGGUGGAACGCACACACCGUCCAGCAUGCUUUCCAGUGACACCUAUUGUGCGACCCGGAAGUGGAACGCAUGCAGCAUUAUGUGUUCCAAGUGCGAACAGCCGAACCUGGAAGUACACAGAAGAGGGAAUUUAAAAAGACGCCAAGGAGGCUCCACCAGAAGAUACCAACUGAGGAAGCCCCCACCACAGGGUGAAACGCAUUUUGGAUCAAUCUAGCCAUCAGGCAAUAUUCACACAGAUCUUUUAAGUCAAAUUUGG